GGGUCGUUAGCUCAGUUGGGAGAGCAUCGCCCUUACAAGGCGAGGGUCACUGGUUCAAGUCCAGUACGACCCACCA
RNAcentral lists this transfer RNA (76 nucleotides) under Campylobacter coli. RNAcentral describes it as "tRNA-Val". It matches the Rfam family "tRNA". From Rfam's summary of the family: Transfer RNA (tRNA) molecules are approximately 80 nucleotides in length. Their secondary structure includes four short double-helical elements and three loops (D, anti-codon, and T loops). Lineage: Bacteria; Pseudomonadati; Campylobacterota; Epsilonproteobacteria; Campylobacterales; Campylobacteraceae. The record is from RNAcentral. RNAcentral also lists the same sequence under 356 other names.